RNAcentral lists this unclassified non-coding RNA (345 nucleotides) under soil metagenome. Its description in RNAcentral is "partial contains 5.8S ribosomal RNA, internal transcribed spacer 2, and large subunit ribosomal RNA". The stretch from base 1 to 120 matches the Rfam family "5.8S ribosomal RNA", at positions 35 to 154 of the family's 154-position model. The record is from RNAcentral.
GAUGAAGAACGCAGCGAAAUGCGAUAAGUAAUGUGAAUUGCAGAAUUCAGUGAAUCAUCGAAUCUUUGAACGCACAUUGCGCCCCCUGGUAUUCCGGGGGGCAUGCCUGUCCGAGCGUCAUUGCAGCCCUCAAGCACGGCUUGUGUGUUGGGCCUCCGUCCUCCUCCCGGGGGACGGGCCCGAAAGGCAGCGGCGGCACCGCGUCCGGUCCUCGAGCGUAUGGGGCUUCGUCACCCGCUCUUGUAGGCCCGGCCGGCGCUUGCCGACACAUCAAUCUUUUUUCCAGGUUGACCUCGGAUCAGGUAGGGAUACCCGCUGAACUUAAGCAUAUCAAUAAGCGGAGGA